CUGGCGGCGUGCCUAAUACAUGCAAGUAGAACGCACAGUUUAUACCGUAGCUUGCUACACCAUAGACUGUGAGUUGCGAACGGGUGAGUAACGCGUAGGUAACCUGCCUGGUAGCGGGGGAUAACUAUUGGAAACGAUAGCUAAUACCGCAUAAUAUUAAUUAUUGCAUGAUAAUUGAUUAAAAGGUGCAAUUGCACCACUACCAGAUGGACCUGCGUUGUAUUAGCUAGUAGGUGAGGUAACGGCUCACCUAGGCGACGAUACAUAGCCGACCUGAGAGGGUGAUCGGCCACACUGGGACUGAGACACGGCCCGGACUCCUACGGGAGGCAGCAGUAGGGAAUCUUCGGCAAUGGACGAAAGUCUGACCGAGCAACGCCGCGUGAGUGAAGAAGGUUUUCGGAUCGUAAAGCUCUGUUGUAAGAGAAGAACGGGUGUGAGAGUGGAAAGUUCACACUGUGACGGUAUCUUACCAGAAAGGGACGGCUAACUACGUGCCAGCAGCCGCGGU
This 511-nucleotide ribosomal RNA is filed under the name Streptococcus sp. oral clone BP2-59. RNAcentral describes it as "bacterial SSU rRNA". It matches the Rfam family "Bacterial small subunit ribosomal RNA", at positions 36 to 521 of the family's 1533-position model. Lineage: Bacteria; Bacillati; Bacillota; Bacilli; Lactobacillales; Streptococcaceae. The record is from RNAcentral.